CGCCGAACUGGAGGGCGGUGCCGUGCCCGCCGGUGCCGGCCUGGGUCAGUUCGACGCUGCCUCCGGCGG
Molecule: transfer RNA, 69 nt
Filed under: Phytohabitans aurantiacus
Lineage: Bacteria; Bacillati; Actinomycetota; Actinomycetes; Micromonosporales; Micromonosporaceae
Description: Micromonospora sp. RD004123 tRNA-Thr
Source: RNAcentral